GCUAUUGGAGUUCGAUUAAGCCAUGCGAGUCGAGAGUCUUAGGGACUCGGCGUACCGCUCAGUAACACGUGGGUAACCUGCCCUAUGCUGGGGAAUAACCUCGGGAAACUGAGAAUAAUGCCCCAUAGUCCACAAUGCCUGGAACGGUUUGUGGAUCAAAGCUCCGGCGGCAUAGGAUGGGCCUGCGGCGUAUCAGGUUGUAGGGGGUGUAACGUACCCUCUAGCCAUCAACGCGUACGGGUGUUGGGAGACAUAGCCCGGAGAUGGAUUCUGAGACACGAAUCCAGACCCUACGGGGUGCAGCAGGCGCGAAAACUUGGCAAUGCGAGAAAUCGUGACCAGGGAACUCCAAGUGGCUGGGGUAAGACCCAGUCUUUUCUUGACUCUUCAAAGGUCUUGGAAUAAGGGGUGGGUAAGGACGGUGCCAGCCGCCGCGGUAAUACCGGCGCCUCAAGUGGUAGUCGAUUUUAUUGGGCCUAAAACGUCCGUAGCCUGUUUGGUACAUUCGUGGGUAAAUCAACCAGCUCAACUGGUUGAAUUCUGCGAGCACGGCCAGACUUGGGACCGGGAGAGGUGUGGGGUACGCUCAGGGUAGGGGUAAAAUCCUGUCAUCCUGAGCGGACCACCUGUUGCGAAGGCGCCACACUAGAACGGAUCCGACGGUCAGGGACGAAGCCUAGGGGCACGAACCGGAUUAGAUACCCGGGUAGUCCCAGGUGUAAACGCUGUGGACUUGGUGUUGGGGACUCUCCGAGAUUCCUCAGUGCCGAAGCGAAGGUGAUAAGUCCACUGCCUGGGGAGUACGGUCGCAAGGCUGAAACUUAAAGGAAUUGGCGGGGGAGCACCGC
RNAcentral lists this ribosomal RNA (848 nucleotides) under uncultured archaeon. Its description in RNAcentral is "bacterial SSU rRNA". It matches the Rfam family "Archaeal small subunit ribosomal RNA", at positions 29 to 882 of the family's 1478-position model. The record is from RNAcentral.